RNAcentral lists this ribosomal RNA (427 nucleotides) under uncultured bacterium. RNAcentral describes it as "bacterial SSU rRNA". It matches the Rfam family "Bacterial small subunit ribosomal RNA", at positions 355 to 774 of the family's 1533-position model. The record is from RNAcentral.
UAGGGAAUAUUGGACAAUGGGGGCAACCCUGAUCCAGCCAUGCCGCGUGAGUGAAGAAGGCCCUCGGGUUGUAAAGCUCUUUUGUCCGGAAAGAAAAGCAUUCGGUGAAUACCCGGAUGUUCUGACGGUACCGGAAGAAUAAGCACCGGCUAACUUCGUGCCAGCAGCCGCGGUAAUACGAAGGGUGCAAGCGUUACUCGGAAUUACUGGGCGUAAAGCGUGCGUAGGUGGUUGUUUAAGUCUGAUGUGAAAGCCCUGGGCUCAACCUGGGAAUGGCAUGGGAAACUGGGCAGCUAGAGUGCGGUAGAGGGUAGUGGAAGUCCCGGUGUAGCAGUGAAAUGCGUAGAGAUCGGGAGGAACAUCUGUGGCGAAGGCGACUGCCUGGACCAGCACUGACACUGAGGCACGAAAGCGUGGGGAGCAAACA